This 1516-nucleotide long non-coding RNA is filed under the name Capsicum annuum. RNAcentral describes it as "long non-coding RNA (CANN_LNC018631)". Lineage: Eukaryota; Viridiplantae; Streptophyta; Magnoliopsida; Solanales; Solanaceae. The record is from RNAcentral.
UUGGUUCGAAAGCUGGGGGUUUUCACCUAAUAGCAUUACCACUUGAAUGGCUGAUUUCCAAAGGUCUAGUCUUUCUGAUAGGGACAUUGAUCAGGUACUUAUUAUUUUGCUUCCAUUUUUCUUAUUUGCCAAACUAUUAUAGAGUAGUGGAAGGGGAAUCUUCGGGGCCGUUUGAUUUGCAAAUAAUCUCGAAAUAAAAUAAUAAUCUCGGGAUAAAACUUUUUAUUCGUCGUUUGGUUGUAAAUAUUUGGGAUAAUUUAUCCCGAAAUUUAUUAUUAGUCCCGGAAUAAUUUAUCUUCCCAAUUGAUGGGAUAACAAUCCCAAUAUUAUUCUUACAUGGGAUAAAAUCAUAAAAUGACAAUGUUACCCUUAAAUUCUUUGAUUUUUCACUUCCAUAAACAUAGUUUGAGUGUUAAAAUUUGAGUGCAUAAUUUAAAAUUUUUACUAAAAAUAUUUCUAUGAAACAACUAUAAUUUGAGUGCAUAAGCUAACACAAUUAAAUUUAUUAUAAUUUAUUAUUCGUACUAUAAUUUGAAUGCAUAAUUUAGUCUAUUUUCGUAAUUAAAUAUUUUAGAAAGUAUAAAGUCAUUUACCGUUUAAAAUGAUUAUAAAAUAUAUAAAUUAUGUUUAUUUAUAUAUUUUAAUUUCUCUAAAAAAAGUUUAAAAAUGAAUAUUUAAAGUGUAAAAAGAAAUAUAUAUAAAAAAAAAGUUAAAUAAGAUGGAGGGUAUUUUGGUAAUCAAUCAAUUUAUUCCUAGAAAUUCUACCAUGCAUAUUACUUUAAAUACAACAAAUCAAACACUUAAUAAAAAAUAAUCCCAACAUAACUAAUCCCAGUAUAACUUAUCCCAUCAUAACUUAUCCCAAUAUAACUAAUCCCGGUAUAAUUUGCUUUCAAACCAAAUGACCCCUUAGUGUAAUUGGUAAAAUUGUUUCUAUGUGAUCAAAAGGUCACGAGUUCUUCAUGUGUGUAAUUUUAAACUCUGUUAGUGAAAAACUUGGCUUUGUUAUGGCUGACACGGGUAUGGCAACAUUUUUAGAGGUUCCAAGCAACAUACAUAUAUAUAUAUAUAUAAAGUACAUUAUGAGGUUCUAGAUUUAAGAAAUGUACAAUGAAUGCAUUAUUACCCCGCAUGUAGAUAUUAAGCUUAAACUUUUCUGCUUAUUAUAUAUUUUCUUGGCUUUGAAGGCCAUUGCAGCACUUAAGAAAGGAGCAAAACUGCUAAAGUAUGGGCGCAGGGGAAAACCAAAGUUCUGUCCCAGAGUACCUUCGUGGAUGCUGCCACUGAAUGUUCAUAGUGUAUUUCAAUAUUAACUAUUUCAAGUCUUCCUUGUAUGCCAGAUUUUUUUAACAUUCUUAAUUGACUUAGAAUUAAUAACUGUGAAACUAAAGAUCAUGUCUACUUAGAAAAUAUGUUGUGGACUAUUUUGUCACUGAAGUAUUGAGACAAGAGUAAGUAGCAAAAGGAAUAAUACACAUUGACUAUGUGACAAAGAGGAAAGAGAAAAGAAAGUGGG